RNAcentral lists this ribosomal RNA (771 nucleotides) under Triticum aestivum (bread wheat). RNAcentral describes it as "partial small subunit ribosomal RNA". The record is from RNAcentral. Lineage: Eukaryota; Viridiplantae; Streptophyta; Magnoliopsida; Poales; Poaceae.
CUUGCUACACCAAAAUGUAAUGGCGGAAUGGGCUUUCGAGACCUUCAGAUCUUUAACUUGGCACUGCUAGGGAAGCAUGGUUGGCGCUUCAUGAUGAACCCGGACUCCCUAUGUGCUAGGGUGAUGAAAGGAAGAUAUUUUCCUGAGUCGGAUUUCAUGCAUGCCUCGGUACCAAACUCCUCCUCGGCGACGUGGAGAGCAAUUGUGGCAGCUCGUGAAGCUUUGCAGGCAGGGCUGGUGAAGCGGGUCGGUGACGGAUCUUCCAUCUCAAUAUGGGAGGACAAGUGGAUCCCUUCUACAAUCACAAUGGCUCCUUUGUUACGUCUAGCAAGUGUGACAGUACAUACUGUCAAUGAACUGAUUGAUACAGAUAGUUGGACAUGGCGCAGGGAGCUUGUCUUCAUCGCUCCGGAUGCGGCAGUAAUUCUGAAUAUUCCACUGCGACGAGGAGGCGGUGAAGAUUUUCUUGCAUGGGCACAUGAGAAGUCAGGCAUUUACUCUAUUAAAUCGGUGUAUCGAGCUCUAGUGAAUCAAAAAGAGCGCCUAGCUCUAGAUGAAGGGCAGAUUACCGGCACCUCAGCGAAUCAACAACAGAUGUGGAAUGCAAUCUGGAAACUCAAACUGACACCGAAAGUGAGGGUCUUCUGGUGGCGCGUGAUGAGGGGCAUUUUACCUGAUGAAAGUACCCUAAGACACCGACACAUAAGACAGAUCAACACUUGCAAAAUCUAUCUAGCCAUGGAUGAGGACCUUGGGCGUGUGGGCCACUAG